UGGGGAAUUUUGGACAAUGGGCGAAAGCCUGAUCCAGCAAUGCCGCGUGUGUGAAGAAGGCCUUCGGGUUGUAAAGCACUUUUGUCCGGAAAGAAAUCCUUGGCUCUAAUACAGUCGGGGGAUGACGGUACCGGAAGAAUAAGCACCGGCUAACUACGUGCCAGCAGCCGCGGUAAUACGUAGGGUGCAAGCGUUAAUCGGAAUUACUGGGCGUAAAGCGUGCGCAGGCGGUUUGCUAAGACCGAUGUGAAAUCCCCGGGCUCAACCUGGGAACUGCAUUGGUGACUGGCAGGCUAGAGUAUGGCAGAGGGGGGUAGAAUUCCACGUGUAGCAGUGAAAUGCGUAGAGAUGUGGAGGAAUACCGAUGGCGAAGGCAGCCCCCUGGGCCAAUACUGACGCUCGUGCACGAAAGCGUGGGGAGCAAAACAGGAUUAGAUACCCUGGUAGUCCACGCCCUAAACGAUGUCAACUAGUUGUUGGGGAUUCAUUUCCUUAGUAACGUAGCUAACGCGUGAAGUUGACCGCCUGGGGGAGUACGGUCGCAAGAUUAAAACUUAAAUGAAUUGACGGGGUCAUAGCUGUUUCCU
RNAcentral lists this ribosomal RNA (587 nucleotides) under uncultured bacterium. Its description in RNAcentral is "partial 16S ribosomal RNA". It matches the Rfam family "Bacterial small subunit ribosomal RNA", at positions 355 to 1375 of the family's 1533-position model. The record is from RNAcentral.